RNAcentral lists this ribosomal RNA (463 nucleotides) under Escherichia coli. RNAcentral's name for it is "bacterial SSU rRNA". It matches the Rfam family "Bacterial small subunit ribosomal RNA", at positions 1 to 460 of the family's 1533-position model. Lineage: Bacteria; Pseudomonadati; Pseudomonadota; Gammaproteobacteria; Enterobacterales; Enterobacteriaceae. The record is from RNAcentral.
AAAUUGAAGAGUUUGAUCAUGGCUCAGAUUGAACGCUGGCGGCAGGCCUAACACAUGCAAGUCGAACGGUAACAGGAAGCAGCUUGCUGCUUUGCUGACGAGUGGCGGACGGGUGAGUAAUGUCUGGGAAACUGCCUGAUGGAGGGGGAUAACUACUGGAAACGGUAGCUAAUACCGCAUAACGUCGCAAGACCAAAGAGGGGGACCUUCGGGCCUCUUGCCAUCGGAUGUGCCCAGAUGGGAUUAGCUUGUUGGUGGGGUAACGGCUCACCAAGGCGACGAUCCCUAGCUGGUCUGAGAGGAUGACCAGCCACACUGGAACUGAGACACGGUCCAGACUCCUACGGGAGGCAGCAGUGGGGAAUAUUGCACAAUGGGCGCAAGCCUGAUGCAGCCAUGCCGCGUGUAUGAAGAAGGCCUUCGGGUUGUAAAGUACUUUCAGCGGGGAGGAAGGGAGUAAAGU